AUGCACGCUGGCGGCGUGCCUCACACAUGCAAGUCGAGCGGCAGCGAGGGGUGCUUGCACCCUGUCGGCGAGCGGCGGACGGCUGAGUAACGCGUGGGAACGUGCCCCAAAGUGAGGAAUAACUGCCCGAAAGGGUAGCUAAUACCGCAUAUUAUCUUCGGAUCAAAGGAUUUAUCCGCUUUGGGAGCGGCUCGCGUCGGAUUAGGUAGUUGGUGAGGUAAUGGCUCACCAAGCCGACGAUCCGUAGCUGGUCUGAGAGGAUGACCAGCCAGACUGGAACUGAGACACGGUCCAGACUCCUACGGGAGGCAGCAGUGAGGAAUCUUCCACAAUGGGCGAAAGCCUGAUGGAGCAACGCCGCGUGCAGGACGAAGGCCUUCGGGUUGUAAACUGCUUUUAUAAGUGAGGAAUAUGACGGUAACUUAUGAAUAAGGAUCGGCUAACUACGUG
This 450-nucleotide ribosomal RNA is filed under the name uncultured bacterium. RNAcentral describes it as "partial 16S ribosomal RNA". It matches the Rfam family "Bacterial small subunit ribosomal RNA", at positions 29 to 507 of the family's 1533-position model. The record is from RNAcentral.